This is a long non-coding RNA of Apodemus sylvaticus (European woodmouse), 714 nucleotides long. RefSeq lists it as uncharacterized. The record is from RefSeq and is a predicted model, not a curated record. The transcript has 2 exons. Lineage: Eukaryota; Metazoa; Chordata; Mammalia; Rodentia; Muridae.
GCGUAGAGCUGUCAGCCGCACCCACGCCGCACUUCCACCAAAGUUGCAAAGCAACGAGCAGACCUGUCAGAACCGUGAAGAUCCCGGCGACCGGAGAAAGGCAAAACCGCUCCGCGUGGGCUGCCCGGAGUGGCAUCGAGCCUUGUUCGAGCCCGAAGAGGUUCCCGCUACUCUAAGCCAGUUGAAGUGGUCCGAGUCUCCUGUUGUCCCAGCCGGACUGCGUCCUGACACCGAGUGGACUCUGCCCCAGGAGUGCGAGCAUCCUGAACGUUCAGGGCAUCCUGCCACACCCCCGCUCUUCGCCCGGUCCCUCACCCGCCAACGCCAGUCCAGGUGGUUGGGCUCAGAAUGGACUGUGAGCUUUCAGAAAAGGAAACCGAGGGAAGACUGAGGGCUGCCAGCCGAAUGAGUUGGCUGCUCCGCGGCUCGCACAAAGUCAAGCAAAUUAUCUUCUCACGUUGUGUCAGAUAUCAGCGGCCUGCUUACCUUACUCCUUUAAUCUGCGUUAUUCCUGAAAGUAGCAGUUGAAACAGAAAGUAGAUGCCUUCUACUGAAAAUGUGAUCCUCGGAGAAGGAAAGAAAGACAGAGGGGUUGAAUCUGAACACCGCGAGAAAGAGAAUCCAAGGUGAUCUGGGAGGCAUUGUCAAGAGCUCACUAGCUAUCUGUGUAAGACAGAAGCAUCCCAUGCAUCUUAAUAAAUUUUAUCUGACUGA